Molecule: ribosomal RNA, 360 nt
Filed under: Streptococcus sp.
Lineage: Bacteria; Bacillati; Bacillota; Bacilli; Lactobacillales; Streptococcaceae
Description: bacterial SSU rRNA
Rfam family: Bacterial small subunit ribosomal RNA
Source: RNAcentral
AGUUGCGAACGGGUGAGUAACGCGUAGGUAACCUGCCUUGUAGCGGGGGAUAACUAUUGGAAACGAUAGCUAAUACCGCAUAACAGCUUUUGACACAUGUUAGAAGCUUGAAAGAUGCAAUUGCAUCACUACGAGAUGGACCUGCGUUGUAUUAGCUAGUAGGUAGGGUAACGGCCUACCUAGGCGACGAUACAUAGCCGACCUGAGAGGGUGAUCGGCCACACUGGGACUGAGACACGGCCCAGACUCCUACGGGAGGCAGCAGUAGGGAAUCUUCGGCAAUGGGGGCAACCCUGACCGAGCAACGCCGCGUGAGUGAAGAAGGUUUUCGGAUCGUAAAGCUCUGUUGUAAGAGAAGAA